AGUGAACGCUGGCGGCAUGCCUUACACAUGCAAGUCGAACGGUAACAGGUCUUCGGAUGCUGACGAGUGGCGAACGGGUGAGUAAUACAUCGGAACGUGCCUAGUAGUGGGGGAUGACUACUCGAAAGAGUGGCUAAUACCGCAUGAGAUCUACGGAUGAAAGCAGGGGAUCGCAAGACCUUGUGCUACUAGAGCGGCCGAUGGCAGAUUAGGUAGUUGGUGGGAUAAAAGCUUACCAAGCCGACGGUCUGUAGCUGGUCUGAGAGGACGAUCAGCCACACUGGGACUGAGACACGGCCCAGACUCCUACGGGAGGCAGCAGUGGGGAAUUUUGGACAAUGGGCGCAAGCCUGAUCCAGCAAUGCCGCGUGCAGGAUGAAGGCCUUCGGGUUGUAAACUGCUUUUGUACGGAACGAAAAGCCCCGGGUUAAUACCCUGGGGUCAUGACGGUACCGUAAGAAUAAGCACCGGCUAACUACGUGCCAGCCGCCGCGGUAA
RNAcentral lists this ribosomal RNA (498 nucleotides) under uncultured bacterium. Its description in RNAcentral is "partial 16S ribosomal RNA". It matches the Rfam family "Bacterial small subunit ribosomal RNA", at positions 29 to 523 of the family's 1533-position model. The record is from RNAcentral.